This 875-nucleotide long non-coding RNA is filed under the name Vulpes vulpes (red fox). RNAcentral's name for it is "lncRNA (ENSVVUG00000005277.1)". Lineage: Eukaryota; Metazoa; Chordata; Mammalia; Carnivora; Canidae. The record is from RNAcentral.
AUGCUAGCUUCAUUCCAGCCUCCCUCUUCAGACAAGCUGAGGACCUGUAUUUGUUCAUCUGUGCACCCUAAGCCCCUCAAAGGACCUGAGGUUUCCAUCCUACUGAGGGCAGGAGACCGUGUGGAGCUGCUACCUGAGGCUGGAGCCAUAGCUAAGGCAGGUCAGGAGGGGACUCAGUGUGAGCCAAAUGUCUCUCCAGGGGUUCCUGGCAUGCCCUGGGAAGAUGUGCAUGGUUCUCAGUGCCUGCAUAGCUGGCAGCACCAAGAAAAUAAUUAUUAUGUAAGUGGAGACAUUGUUAAGUGAACAAAAGUAAACAAUACAUACAACAAAAAUCCAUUUAUUGUUUUAAAGGGGCUAUGUGUGUUCAAAGAUAUUUAUUUUUUUAUAUUUUUCAUAUCUAUAUAAACACAGAAACUAUCUUGAAGAAUAUGUACCAAACUACUAUAGUGGCUACUUCUGAAAAAGGGAUUGGAAAGACGGGAUUUUCCAGUUCAGAAAAAUGAAAUCAGCUUCUAGAAGAUAAGUGCUCUAGAAGGUAUGUGAAAAUGACAAAAGCGAGAGAGAAAACUUCAUAUUACAUACAAUCACACUUUUCUUUCUUCUUCUUUUUAAGAUUUUAUUUAUUUAUGUAUUUGAGAGAGUGAGAGAGCGAGCGAGCACAUGACGUGGUGGAAGGACAGAAGGAAAGCAAUAAGCAGACUCCCCCUUGAGCAGUGAACCUGACUCAGGGCUUCAUCUCAGGAUCUUGGGAUCAUGACCUGAGCCAAAGGCAGAUACUUAGCCAACUGAGGCACCCUACAAUCACACUUUUCUAAGACAUCUAUCAUAUAUACUCAUUUUUUAAAAAUAAAAGAAUAUACAACAAAUUAAGAGCA